UACAGAGGGCCCGAGCGUUGCGCGGAUUCAUUGGGCUUAAAGCGUGUGCAGGCGGACUCGUAAGUGCCUUGUGAAAGCCCACAGCUCAACUGUGGAAUCGCUUGGUAGACUGCGGGUCUUGAGAUUGGUAGGGGUCGCCGGAACUCUAGGUGGAGCGGUGAAAUGCGUAGAUAUCUAGAGGAACGCCGAAGGUGAAGACAGGCGACUGGGCCAUUUCUGACGCUGAGACACGAAAGCGUGGGGAGCGAACGGG
Molecule: ribosomal RNA, 253 nt
Filed under: uncultured bacterium
Lineage: Bacteria
Description: partial 16S ribosomal RNA
Rfam family: Bacterial small subunit ribosomal RNA
Source: RNAcentral